AUUGAACGCUGGCGGCAGGCCUAACACAUGCAAGUCGAACGGUAACAGGAAACAGCUUGCUGUUUCGCUGACGAGUGGCGGACGGGUGAGUAAUGUCUGGGAAACUGCCUGAUGGAGGGGGAUAACUACUGGAAACGGUAGCUAAUACCGCAUAACGUCGCAAGACCAAAGAGGGGGACCUGCGGGCCUCUUGCCACCGGAUGCGCCCAGAUGGGAUUAGCUAGUAGGUGGGGUAACGGCUCACCUAGGCGACGAUCCCUAGCUGGUCUGAGAGGAUGACCAGCCACACUGGAACUGAGACACGGUCCAGACUCCUACGGGAGGCAGCAGUGGGGAAUAUUGCACAAUGGGCGCAAGCCUGAUGCAGCCAUGCCGCGUGUAUGAAGAAGGCCUUCGGGUUGUAAAGUACUUUCAGCGGGGAGGAAGGGAGUAAAGUUAAUACCUUUGCUCAUUGACGUUACCCGCAGAAGAAGCACCGGCUAACUCCGUGCCAGCAGCCGCCGCGG
This 506-nucleotide ribosomal RNA is filed under the name uncultured bacterium. RNAcentral's name for it is "partial 16S ribosomal RNA". It matches the Rfam family "Bacterial small subunit ribosomal RNA", at positions 30 to 523 of the family's 1533-position model. The record is from RNAcentral.